RNAcentral lists this small nuclear RNA (83 nucleotides) under Sus scrofa (pig). Lineage: Eukaryota; Metazoa; Chordata; Mammalia; Artiodactyla; Suidae. The record is from RNAcentral.
CUAAAAUUGGAACAAUACAGAGAAGAUGAGCACAGCCCCUGUGCAAGGAUGACAUGCAAAUUCGUGAAGCAUUCUGUAUUUUU